RNAcentral lists this transfer RNA (84 nucleotides) under Actinomycetota bacterium. Its description in RNAcentral is "tRNA-Leu". It matches the Rfam family "tRNA". From Rfam's summary of the family: Transfer RNA (tRNA) molecules are approximately 80 nucleotides in length. Their secondary structure includes four short double-helical elements and three loops (D, anti-codon, and T loops). The record is from RNAcentral. Lineage: Bacteria; Bacillati; Actinomycetota.
GCCCGGGUGGCGGAACUGGCAUACGCACGGUGCUUAAACCACCGGGCCCGAAAGGGAUUGCGGGUUCGAGCCCCGCCCCGGGCA